This 475-nucleotide ribosomal RNA is filed under the name uncultured organism. RNAcentral describes it as "partial 16S ribosomal RNA". It matches the Rfam family "Bacterial small subunit ribosomal RNA", at positions 334 to 800 of the family's 1533-position model. The record is from RNAcentral.
CACUCCUACGGGAGGCAGCAGUGGGGAAUUUUGGACAAUGGGGGCAACCCUGAUCCAGCAAUGCCGCGUGAGUGAAGAAGGCCUUCGGGUUGUAAAGCUCUUUUGUCAGGGAAGAAACGGUAGUAGCGAAUAACUAUUACUAAUGACGGUACCUGAAGAAUAAGCACCGGCUAACUACGUGCCAGCAGCCGCGGUAAUACGUAGGGUGCAAGCGUUAAUCGGAAUUACUGGGCGUAAAGCGUGCGCAGGCGGUUGUGUAAGUCAGAUGUGAAAUCCCCGGGCUCAACCUGGGAAUUGCAUUUGAGACUGCACGGCUAGAGUGUGUCAGAGGGGGGUAGAAUUCCACGUGUAGCAGUGAAAUGCGUAGAUAUGUGGAGGAAUACCGAUGGCGAAGGCAGCCCCCUGGGAUAACACUGACGCUCAUGCACGAAAGCGUGGGGAGCAAACAGGAUUAGAAACCCCUGUAGUCCCAUGA